CCCUUAGAUGUCCUGGGCCGCACGCGCGCUACACUGAUGCAUGCAACGAGUUUAUAACCUUGGCCUGAAAGGUCUGGGUAAUCUUUUGAACGUGCAUCGUGAUAGGGAUAGAUUAUUGCAAUUGUUAAUCUUGAACGAGGAAUUCCUAGUAAACGCGAGUCAUCAGCUCGCAUUGAUUACGACCCUGCCCUUUGUACACACCGCCCGUCGCACCUACCGAUUGAAUGGUUCGGUGAAGAUCUCGGACUUCGAUAUUUAUUCUUUAUUGAGUUUAUAUUGUGGGAAGUUAUCUAAACCUCAUCAUUUAGAGGAAGGUGAAGUCGUAACA
This 328-nucleotide ribosomal RNA is filed under the name uncultured eukaryote. RNAcentral's name for it is "partial 18S ribosomal RNA". It matches the Rfam family "Eukaryotic small subunit ribosomal RNA", at positions 1470 to 1796 of the family's 1831-position model. The record is from RNAcentral.